GAUGAGCGCUGGCGGCGUGCCUAAUACAUGCAAGUCGAGCGAACAGAUGAGGAGCUUGCUCCUCUGACGUUAGCGGCGGACGGGUGAGUAACACGUGGAUAACCUACCUAUAAGACUGGGAUAACUUCGGGAAACCGGAGCUAAUACCGGAUAAUAUAUUGAACCGCAUGGUUCAAUAGUGAAAGACGGUUUUGCUGUCACUUAUAGAUGGAUCCGCGCCGCAUUAGCUAGUUGGUAAGGUAACGGCUUACCAAGGCAACGAUGCGUAGCCGACCUGAGAGGGUGAUCGGCCACACUGGAACUGAGACACGGUCCAGACCCCUACGGGAGGCAGCAGUAGGGAAUCUUCCGCAAUGGGCGAAAGCCUGACGGAGCAACGCCGCGUGAGUGAUGAAGGUCUUCGGAUCGUAAAACUCUGUUAUUAGGGAAGAACAAAUGUGUAAGUAACUAUGCACGUCUUGACGGUACCUAAUCAGAAAGCCACGGCUAACUACGUG
Molecule: ribosomal RNA, 497 nt
Filed under: uncultured bacterium
Lineage: Bacteria
Description: partial 16S ribosomal RNA
Rfam family: Bacterial small subunit ribosomal RNA
Source: RNAcentral